Molecule: long non-coding RNA, 669 nt
Filed under: Homo sapiens (human)
Lineage: Eukaryota; Metazoa; Chordata; Mammalia; Primates; Hominidae
Description: LHRI_LNC1048.1
Source: RNAcentral
UGAUAACCGCUCUCCGAGUUCAUGCUCUUCUGAGGUCUAGAAAGAAAUGGGUGUCUCUGUCCCAACCUGGUUAGUUAUUCUGUCUCUAAAAACACAAUUAAGUCAAUGUUAAGACUAAGUUCAUUAAGCUGCUCGUGUUUUUAUGCCUUGACAGUUUGUUAAUGGUGGUUGCAUAAGUUUUACAGAACUAGUUUCGUCUUGUUGCCCAGGCUGGAGGGCAAUGGUGUGACCUCAGCUCACCGCAACCUCCGCCUCCUGGGUUCAAGCGAUUCUCCUGCCUCAGCCUCCCAAGUAGCUGGGAUUACAGGCAUGCGCCACCAUGCCUGGCUUAUUUUGUAUUUUUAGUAGAGACAGGGUUUCUCCAUGUUGGUCUGGCUGGUCUCGAACUCCUGACCUCAGGUGAUCUGCCCGCCUUGACCUCCCAAAGUGCAGGGAUUACAGGCAUGAGCCACCGCGGCCAGCCUGUAGUCAGCUCUUUAAGGCAACAAUUUAUUGGCUCAGGUGACUGGCACAAGCCAGUUUUCUUUUGUUCAUUUCAUCCAUUGUGGCAAGGAUUAGCAACAGUACUAAAUGAGAGCUUGUCAACACCUUCUGUAAAAACACCACCAGGAGCAGGAGAGCUGCUUCUCCCAUGUGGCUCAAACACUUAAUUCCAGCUUCUCUACACCC